AUGGCAGCUCCAGAGUCUGAAAUCCUCUCCUUAUCCACAGAAGAAAAGAGUCUAGGCAGCAGCAGUACAAGCUUCCCUACAGUCUGUCCCCAUGUGCUGCCAGCAUGCCCUGGAGGAACCACCUUCUAGGGGUGAAUAGGUAAUUCAGCCUCCAUACCCAUUCAGUCAUCUAUCUUCC
This is an unclassified non-coding RNA of Gopherus agassizii (Agassiz's desert tortoise), 178 nucleotides long. The record is from Ensembl. Lineage: Eukaryota; Metazoa; Chordata; Testudines; Testudinidae.